Molecule: transfer RNA, 82 nt
Filed under: Pelagibacterium halotolerans
Lineage: Bacteria; Pseudomonadati; Pseudomonadota; Alphaproteobacteria; Hyphomicrobiales; Devosiaceae
Also listed under: 1 other name
Description: tRNA_Leu_CAA
Rfam family: tRNA
About the family: Transfer RNA (tRNA) molecules are approximately 80 nucleotides in length.
Source: RNAcentral
GCGGGUGUGGUGGAAUUGGUAGACGCGCUGGACUCAAAAUCCAGUUCCGAAAGGAGUGCCGGUUCGAUCCCGGCCACCCGCA